CGGCUGGUGGUGAUGGAACAGAACCUGUUCUAAAAGAGGAAACGGCUGGUGGUGAUGGAACAGAACCUUUUCUAAAAGAGGAAACGGCUGGUGGUGAUAGAACAGAACCUGUUCUGAAAGAGGAAAUGGCUAGUGGUGAUGGAACAGAACCUGUUCUAAAAGAGGAAACGGCUGGUGGUGAUGGAACAGAACCUGUUCUAAAAGAGGAAACGGCUGGUGGUGAUGGAACAGAACCUGUUCUAAAACAGGAAAUGGCUAGUGGUGAUGGAACAGAACCUGUUCUAAAAGAGGAAACGGCUGGUGGUGAUGGAACAGAACCUGUUCUAAAAGAGGAAACGGCUGGUGGUGAUGGAACAGAACCUGUUCUAAAAGAGGAAACGGCUGGUGGUGAUGGAACAGAACCUGUUCUAAAAGAGGAAAUGGCUAGUGGUGAUGGACUGAGGAGAUGCAUCUGAAAAGUUCUAAAACAGGAACUGUGUGUGUGUGUGUGUGUGUGUGUGUCGACUGAUUAUGGACAGCUGUGAGAGUCUAGGUUGGAACCCUGGAGGUAGAAACAACCCUUCUCUCUGACUCUGAACUCAACUCCCAGAAUGAGUCUAGACAGACAGACGGAGGGAACCGGCCCCAUGAUACAAGAGACUGGACUCAUGAACCACACAGACAGAUUGACAUAUGGAUAUUAUCUCCUGUUUGUAGCCACUAUCUCCAUUUCAAAGAGAUCUACUGAAGAGACUAUUACAGAGAGAGAGAGAAACCAUACAUUUCCUUUAUUUGUGACUAUUGGGCCGAGCAGAACCAAGGAUAGCAUGUGUGUUUCAGCUGCUGGUUCUGUUUCGGUUUACAGAUGCUGAAAUUGCCCAUAAGCUAUUUUUUGAAUACACAAACCUUCUCAUUAAAAAACACACACACACACACACACACACACAAACACACACACACACACAUAAUGCUCAUCAUGUAGGAAUUGGAUCCCAGGAAAGUAUUCUGCCAUCUUGACAGAUACCUGAACAAGGAACAUGUUUACUUCACCUGUGUGUUUUGUGUACCUCCUAAAGACAUAUAAAUAUCAUUUUUAAUGUGGACAUUUCAGACAUUGGACAGAAUAGCACAAAAAGAACCCUGUAAGAUGUUGACCACGUUAAGCUCAAUAUGUAUUCAUUCUAUGCUAAGUUUUCUGUUCUGCUGAUGCCUAACCGUGAGUUCAUAACACUGAACUCAGAAGUGCAUCUCGAUUUACAUGUUUUGUGUCUUUCUGUUCUUGAGAAAAGGUGUGAUGCUUUAGAAACACACUGUGAUUGUCAGUCUGUAGGAUAUGUCUAUGGUGUUGGUUUAGGUGAGUCUUUGGUUCAAUUGAAAUAUUGGUCCUUGUGUAUCUGAAGAAGCUGCAGUGUUCAGAACGACCUGCAGGGGUCUCCCUCCCACUGAGAAACACUAGAUCUGUCCUAUAGAACAGGACUGGCCAGUAUUCUAAAAGAGGGCCGGUGUGGGUGCAGGCUUUUGCCCCAGCCAAGCAGUAACACACCUGAUUCUAUAUCUGGUGGAUGUUAUCGUUGGAUGCUGAUGCAACACCACACACAUCUUUAAAUGCAGUGUUAACCUACAGCAGGGUUUCCCAGUGGUGUAGUAGGAGCUACACGGAGGUAUACACCCUAAACCCCACAGAUGUUUAAACAGAGGUGUAGGAGGUAUACGCUCUAAACCCCACAGAGGUUUAAACAGUGGUGUAGUAGGAGCUACACGGAGGUAUACGCCCUAAACCCCACAGAGGUUUAAACAGUGGUGUAGUAGGAGCUACACGAAGGUAUACACCCUAAACCCCACAGAGGUUUAAACAGAGGUGUAGGAGGUAUACACCCUAAACCCCACAGAGGUUUAAACAGAGGUGUAGGAGGUAUACACCCUAAACCCCACAGAGGUUUAAACAGUGGUGUAGUAGGAGCUACACGAAGGUAUACACCCUAAACCCCACAGAGGUUUAAACAGAGGUGUAGGAGGUAUACACCCUAAACCCCACAGAGGUUUAAACAGAGGUGUAGGAGGUAUACACCCUAAAGCCCACUGAGGUUUAAACAGUGGUGUAGUAGGAGCUACACAGAGGUAUACACCCUAAACCCCACAGAGGUUUAAACAGUGGUGUAGUAGGAGCUACACAGAGGUAUACACCCUAAACCACACAGAGGUUUAAACAGUGGUGUAGUAGGAGCUACACAGAGGUAUACACCCUAAACCCCACUGAGGUUUAAACAGUGGUGUAGUAGGAGCUACACAGAGGUAUACACCCUAAACCCCACUGAGGUUUAAACAGAGGUGUAGGAGGUAUACGCUCUAAACCCCACAGAGGUUUAAACAGUGGUGUAGUAGGAGCUACACAGAGGUAUACGCUCUAAACCCCACUGAGGUUUAAACAGUGGUGUAGUAGGAGCUACACAGAGGUAUACACCCUAAACCCCACUGAGGUUUAAACAGAGGUGUAGGAGGUAUACGCUCUAAACCCCACAGAGGUUUAAACAGUGGUGUAGUAGGAGCUACACAGAGGUAUACGCUCUAAACCCCACUGAGGUUUAAACAGUGGUGUAGUAGGAGCUACACAGAGGUAUACACCCUAAACCCCACUGAGGUUUAAACAGUGGUGUAGUAGGAGCUGCACGGAGGUACAGUGCCUUGCGAAAGUAUUCGGCCCCCUUGAACUUUGCGACCUUUUGCCACAUUUCAGGCUUCAAACAUAAAGAUAUAAAACUGUAUUUUUUUGUGAAGAAUCAACAACAAGUUGGACACAAUCAUGAAGUGGAACGAUAUUUAUUGGAUAUUUCAAACUUUUUUAACUAAUCAAAAACUGAAAAAUUGGGCGUGCAAAAUUAGUCAUUAUGUGCUGUUUUUGAAUGAACAUUUCCAAAUGCUUUCCCAAGGAAAACUUUCAAAUGGAAGCUGCCAUAUGUAACUUUGUGCAACCAAACAAGUUCACAUAGAAAUGUGAAAACGUAUUGCAGAGGUUGAGAUUGUACAAAGACUAUACAAUUACUUAUUGUUUUGUCACAAACUGAAAUUAGGUGAACUUUGAAUUUUAGCAACCAGGAAAUGGUGGAGCUAUUUCUGUAUAGUGCAUCUUUAAAUGUUGACUACAAAUUAGGCCUACAUGAUAUAAUUAUGAUUGUAUCAAUCUGGAGGGCAUUUCUUUUGAAAACUCUGCAAUCACAUGUACUCUACUGUAGGCCUACAUUGUAGAGUACAGACACUGCGAGCCACAUGGUAUUUGGCUAGUUGCUUAAUUAUUUUAAAGGGCAACUAGACCCUCCCAAAAAUAGUAUUUUAUAUUUUUCCCAGACCUAAAAAAUGGUCUCCUUGUGCGGUAUAAGCAUUGAUGUGGGCUUAACAUGCAUUUGUUGUUUUUCUAUGAAAGAUUUUUCUGGCAAAAUGAUGGUGUACUCACUUCUCCAGGCACCGCUACACCAAUGGGUUUUCCUGUAUCUGUGAGUGAUUUGAUUUGGGACCUGAAUCUCCAACAGGCUUAGGCUGUUACGCAAUGGAUCAUCAUGUCUCACUCCCAUAGGCUGCUUCACUUGUCAAUCAUGUCUCUGCUAUCUUGCCCUGUAAUCUGUGAUAUCUCUCUCUCAAACACUCCUCUGUCUCUCAUCGUCAACUCUUUAUUUAAGAUAUUAAGCAAGCUCUACUUCUCUUAUCCUACAGUAUCUUCACCUGUCUGACAAAUCAAGCAAAUGAGAAAAUAAAACAAUCUGAAGAGAACCACACAGGGUUGAAUUGAUGAAAGCUGAAGUCAUUUAGUAAUUUAACUUGUUGACUUAUUGUAAUGAAUUGUAACAUUAUUUUAAAUGAAAUGAUUUAUUAAUGCAAAACAUUGAUGUCUUCUCGCCUUUGGUGUCUCCAACUCUAAUCUCAAUUACCCAGUUUCUAGUGCCCAAGAAUGGAAAGUGUGUGUGGGGGGGCACUUGACACCAGACUGUGUUUGUGUUUGUCCAUCGAUUAUUUCAUUGAUAAACACCCUGGUAGAUAUCAGGUGAUGAAGAGAUAAUAAUGUUGUUCCACUGAAGCCAAAU
Oncorhynchus tshawytscha (Chinook salmon) is the source of this 4052-nucleotide long non-coding RNA. Lineage: Eukaryota; Metazoa; Chordata; Actinopteri; Salmoniformes; Salmonidae. The record is from Ensembl.